CACGGAAGGGGCAAGCGUUACUCGUACGUAUUGGGCGUAAAGGGCGCGUAGGCUGCCGAUCAAGUCGGGGGUGAAAGCCUGUGGCUCAACCACAGAAUUGCCUUCGAUACUGUUUGGCUAGAGACCGGAAGAGGUUAGUGGAACUGCGAGUGUAGAGGUGAAAUUCGUAGAUAUUCGCAAGAACACCAGUGGCGAAGGCGGCUAACUGGUCCGGUUCUGACGCUGAGGCGCGAAAGCGUGGGGAGCAAACAGG
RNAcentral lists this ribosomal RNA (253 nucleotides) under uncultured bacterium. Its description in RNAcentral is "partial 16S ribosomal RNA". It matches the Rfam family "Bacterial small subunit ribosomal RNA", at positions 524 to 776 of the family's 1533-position model. The record is from RNAcentral.